This 499-nucleotide ribosomal RNA is filed under the name uncultured bacterium. RNAcentral's name for it is "partial 16S ribosomal RNA". It matches the Rfam family "Bacterial small subunit ribosomal RNA", at positions 28 to 507 of the family's 1533-position model. The record is from RNAcentral.
GACGAACGCUGGCGGCGUGCCUAAUACAUGCAAGUCGAGCGAAGUUUUUCUGGUGCUUGCACCGGAAAAACUUAGCGGCGAACGGGUGAGUAACACGUAAAGAACCUGCCUCAUAGACUGGGACAACUAUUGGAAACGAUAGCUAAUACCGGAUAACAGCAUUAACCGCAUGGUUGAUGUUUAAAAGUUGGUUUUGCUAACACUAUGAGAUGGCUUUGCGGUGCAUUAGCUAGUUGGUGGGGUAAAGGCCUACCAAGGCGACGAUGCAUAGCCGACCUGAGAGGGUGAUCGGCCACACUGGGACUGAGACACGGCCCAGACUCCUACGGGAGGCAGCAGUAGGGAAUCUUCCGCAAUGGGCGAAAGCCUGACGGAGCAACGCCGCGUGAGUGAAGAAGGAUUUCGGUUCGUAAAGCUCUGUUGUUAGGGAAGAAUGAUUGUGUAGUAACUAUACACAGUAGAGACGGUACCUAACCAGAAAGCCACGGCUAACUACGUG